Pieris rapae (cabbage white) is the source of this 81-nucleotide small nucleolar RNA. RefSeq annotates it as small nucleolar RNA snR60/Z15/Z230/Z193/J17. The record is from RefSeq and is a predicted model, not a curated record. The transcript has a single exon. Lineage: Eukaryota; Metazoa; Arthropoda; Insecta; Lepidoptera; Pieridae.
UCACUUAUGAUGAUUUUAUAGUUCAGCUGAAUACUCUGAUGUACAUACAGCUUUGUCUUUCGCUCCUAUCUGACUAACUUA